AAUAUUGGACAAUGGGGGCAACGCUGAUCCAGCCAUGCCGCGUGUGUGAAGAAGGUCUNCGGAUUNUNAAGCACUUUAAGUUGGGNGGAAGGGCUUUAGGCUAAUACCCUGAAGUUUUGACGUUACCAACAGAUUAAGCACCUGCUAACUUCGUGCCAGCAGCCGCGGUAAUACGAAGGGUGCAAGCGUUAAUCGGAAUUACGGGGCGUAAAGCGCGCGGAGGUGGUUCGUUAAGUUGGAAGUGAAAGCCCCGGGCUUAAACUGGGAAUUGCUUUCAGAACUGACGAGCUAGAGUACGGUAGAGGGUAGUGGAAUUUCCUGUGUAGCGGUGAAAUGCGUAGAUAUAGGAAGGAACAUCAGUGGCGAAGGCGACUACCUGGACUGAUACUGACACUGAGGUGCGAAAGCGUGGGGAGCAAACAGG
RNAcentral lists this ribosomal RNA (424 nucleotides) under uncultured bacterium. RNAcentral's name for it is "partial 16S ribosomal RNA". It matches the Rfam family "Bacterial small subunit ribosomal RNA", at positions 360 to 776 of the family's 1533-position model. The record is from RNAcentral.